GACGAACCGUCCAAACGUUAUUCGGAAUCACUGGGCUUACAGAGUUCGUAGGCGGUCUGGCAAGUUGGGUGUGAAAUCCCUCGGCCUAACCGAGGAACUGCGCUUGAAACUACCAGACUCGAGGGAGAUAGAGGAAAGCGGAACUGAUGGUGGAGCGGUGAAAUGCGUUGAUAUCAUCAGGAACCCCGGUGGCGAAGGCGGCUUUCUGGGUCUUACCUGACGCUGAGGAACGAAAGCCAGGGGAGCGAACGGG
Molecule: ribosomal RNA, 253 nt
Filed under: uncultured bacterium
Lineage: Bacteria
Description: partial 16S ribosomal RNA
Rfam family: Bacterial small subunit ribosomal RNA
Source: RNAcentral